UCAAAACAAAGAAUUCUCUGUGCAAUUAAAUAAUAAAAGCAUAAUAAUUGAACAAUGUGAGUGUGACAAAGCGGAUAUUUUAUUUCUUUGCCGAAUUUAUCAUCAACAUCUGCAUUCCAAGUCUUAUUAUUACGGAGCUGCAAACGAAAAUCAAAGUCAACAAUUGUGGAUCAUAUGAGUGUUGAAAAUUCUCAACAAUCGUGACGGCGAAAAUAUUUACAUACAUCGGCAGCCAUUUUGGAAAGUGGAAUCGAAGAUUUCCACAUGCAAUCGAACAAUUUUAUCAUUAUUUUGGAGUAAUCUGCGUGUGGUCAAGCAGACAUUUUGUUCCGCUGCAGAAUUUAACAUCAGUAUCUUGAUUCCAAGCGACUACAGACGAGAAUAAUAUUCAACAAUUGGACAUUUCAAUGAGUGUUGUAAAUUCUCAACAAUCGUCACUGCGUAAAUAUUCAUAAAAAUUGGCAGCCAUCUUGAAAAAUGGAAUCGGAGAUUUCUCCCUGCAAUGAAAUGAUAAAAUUAUAAUUUUUGAGUAGUCUGCGUGUCGCUAAGAAGACAUUUUGUUCCUCUGCGGAAUUUAUCAUCAAUAUCUGCAUUCCAAGCGGGAUUUUCACGAAUCUACAGACAAGAACAUUCAACAAUUGGCCAUUUUAAUCUGUCAUUCGUCCGCCAUUUUUUCAUGGAGAUACAAAGGACAAUUGCUUUGUUCAUUGUCGAACAUUAGACAAAGAGAAUCGUAAAUCCCCAAGAAUAGUUACAAUCGAAUCCGUGGCCUCAAAAAUAUUUCUUCUAUUCGACGUUAUUUCAAGUGAGAAUAUCUUUGAGAUGUGUUGAAAAUUUUUAUUUCUCGAUCCAAUAAUUUUCAUUGUUAAUUUUUCUUUUUGGAGUCAAAAGUCAAUUCUUUUUCCGGGAGUGUCGUAAUUUCUUUAAAUCGCGAUCGAUUAAGUAAUUAAAAGUGGUAUUCUUUUUUAUUUUAAAUCUUAUUUGAUUAUUAAUUCAAUUUAUUUUGGAGUCAAUAGUCAAUUUUUUUUCGGGAGUGUUCGUGUUUUUUUUACUCGCAUGUGUUUUUUGGAAAAUGUCAUCACUGGACGGACUGCAAAGAUCUCUUGGAUUGCUGCGCUGUUUGGACAUCGACAAUUAUACAGAGAAAUAUAAGGAUGCGGCAUAUUCCUGCUUUCCUGAUUUUCAAUUCUCACUCUCACGUGACGGGAGUCAGUUGCCAGAUGACAUGCGUGGAAAUUUUGGAGAAAAUGUCGACGCGCGUCUCGUUCGAUCACGUGUUUCUAAAUUCAUCCUCACAAUUUAAUUUCAUUUUAAUAAUUAUUAUUAAUAAUUAAUAUAAUUCGUUAAUUGUUAAUUUGAUAUUAAUUUUUUUUUCUUA
Leptopilina heterotoma is the source of this 1378-nucleotide long non-coding RNA. RefSeq lists it as uncharacterized. NCBI's taxonomy places the organism in Eukaryota, Metazoa, Arthropoda, Insecta, Hymenoptera, Figitidae. The transcript has 5 exons. The record is from RefSeq and is a predicted model, not a curated record.